Cyprinus carpio carpio is the source of this 1163-nucleotide long non-coding RNA. The record is from Ensembl. NCBI's taxonomy places the organism in Eukaryota, Metazoa, Chordata, Actinopteri, Cypriniformes, Cyprinidae.
UGAAUCUCAAGAGCUUUAAAAUAACACCAUUAGCAAAGUUAUGGUAGAGAACUUCCAUAAACUCACUCUGAGCUUUGCGUGUCUGCUAGUCCAGAACUCAUACAAAUAUAUAUUUGCAAUAUUUUUGGCCAUUCUGUUACUAACCAAAAUCAAGAAUAUGCAACUGCAUCUUCCACUGUGUUCUGUAAUUCUUUUGUUAUCUUCCAUAUCGAAGGGCCGUCAUUCUCAAAGCAAACUUGUGGAUGCCUAGAUUCAGUCAGCAUUUGGCCUUGUCAGUGAACCCAAGUUGGGCAGCUGCUCCGUUCAAAGAUUGACAUUGGGAAUGAGAGAGAGAGAGAAACUACAUCCUACACAUUAAGUGAACAUACUCUUGAAAGUAAAACGGACGCUAAAGGUUAACUAGUCAAUAGCUUGGUUUAAGUUAUGACCUCUUUAUCCUGAAAAAAACAAAACAGCUUAAAACAGCCUAAGGUCAUCAAGCUGGUUUCUGGCUGGCAGACUAGUGAGACUAGCAAAACCAGCUUGAACCAGCUACAAUGAGACUAGCAAACCAUUUUGGAUUGAUAUAAGUUAUUUUUAAUAAAAUAUUCCUGCACAUCAGUAAUGUUGUCCAGCAUCACUAAUGUUUUUUAUUUUCUUAUUUUUUAAUGACUACACCAUCCACUAAGUCUAAUGGGGUGAAAACAAAACAAAAAAACCCUGAACAACCUUUUAACAGAGAACACACAAGGCUGUAGUAGAAACCUUACACUACUGUAGAACUGAACAUUACUUUGCAGAGCGGGCCGGGCACUGAACACGCACACGAUAAAUGCCAUAACAGCAAGAUACAUAUUUCUGUACUAACAAAGGCUUGGUUUGAUAGGCAAACAUGAUGUACUGUAUUGUGCAAUACAUCAUUACAGGAACAGGCAUUGUUUGAAUAGGAAAGGUUGGUGUGUUAAAGAAUUUUUAUUUUUUCUCUUUUUCAAGGUCCUGUUAUCAUUCUCUAGACGAUGUGAACUGUGCCAGGAGAGUUUUAUUUAUUUAUUGCAUGCUCUUUCCCCUUUUGCAAUUCCCUCACCCUCUGUGCGCUUUGUUGGACAUGUGAUGCUGUAAACAUUCUAAAUCAGGUUAUUGUCUGUGUUGAGAUACGUAUCUGUGUAAUUAAAAAAAGGCAGUGA